UACAGAGGUCCCAAGCGUUGUUCGGAUCCACUGGGCGUAAAGGGUGCGUAGGCGGUCGGGUAAGUCUGAUGUGAAAUCUCACAGCUUAACUGUGAAACUGCAUUGGAUACUAUUCGGCUUGAGAGUUGGAGGGGGGACUGGAAUUCUUGGUGUAGCAGUGAAAUGCGUAGAUAUCAAGAGGAACACCAGUGGCGAAGGCGAGUCCCUGGACAACUUCUGACGCUGAGGCACGAAAGCUAGGGGAGCAAACAGG
This 253-nucleotide ribosomal RNA is filed under the name uncultured bacterium. Its description in RNAcentral is "partial 16S ribosomal RNA". It matches the Rfam family "Bacterial small subunit ribosomal RNA", at positions 524 to 776 of the family's 1533-position model. The record is from RNAcentral.